Molecule: RNA transcript, 2806 nt
Organism: Trachemys scripta elegans
Lineage: Eukaryota; Metazoa; Chordata; Testudines; Emydidae
Gene: PIGB
Gene name: phosphatidylinositol glycan anchor biosynthesis class B
Exons: 13
Source: RefSeq, a predicted model, not a curated record
GGAGCUGCGUCCGACAUGCAGGCGGGGGGUGGAGGCGGGUUCUUCCCCCGCGGCCGGACCCGCAGUGCCGACACCGUGCGGCUCCGCAAGAGAAAAUCUGCGCUGUACAGCGCUGCCCCGGGGGCCGGCGGGGAGCGGGGCCCAGAGCUUAUUGGCGAAAACAUUUAUCUGGUCUUGUUUACCAUAACUCUGCGAGUACUUAACUGCUUUUUAGUCCAGACAAGCUUUGUUCCAGAUGAAUACUGGCAGUCGCUUGAAGUUGCACAUCAUAUGGUUUUCAAUUAUGGCUACUUGACCUGGGAAUGGACAGAAGGUUUAAGGGGUUAUUCAUACCCACUACUAUUUGCAACUAUCUACAGAGUUUUACAGCUACUGGCAAAGGAUGAUGUUCAGCUGCUGAUUUGGAUCCCUAGACUUGUGCAAGCAGUUCUGUCAGCUCUAGCAGACGUAAAGCUUUACUCAUUAGUGAGACACCUAGAAAAUGCAGAAACAGCAAAGUGGGUGUACCUUUGCCAGUUGUGCUCUUGGUUUACAUGGUAUUGCUGUACCAGAACUCUAACAAACACCAUGGAAACAGUUCUCACCAUCUUUGCUCUUUUCUACUAUCCAAUGGAAGGCUCAAAGAUAAGGAGUAGUUGCAAAUAUUUAACUUUGGUAGCACUUGCAUUUAUUAUUCGUCCAACUGCUGUAAUUCCAUGGAUACCUUUGGUGCUCAGGCAUUUCUGGCAAGAACAAAAGAAGGUAGACCUUGUUCUAUACAGCUGUAUUCCAGUAGGAUUGGCCACUCUAGGGAUUUCUUUAAUAAUUGAUCGUGUAUUUUUUGGUGAGUGGAUACUGGUUCAGAUGAAAUUCUUGAAGUUUAAUGUGCUACAGAAUUUGGGGACAUUUUAUGGUUCUCAUCCUUGGCAUUGGUACUUGAGCCAGGGAUUGCCGGUUAUUUUGGGCACCCAUCUACCCUUCUUUAUUCACGGCUGCAUCCAGGCCCCAAAGAGGUACCGGAUCUUUCUAGUGGUAGUGGUUUGGACAUUGUUGGUAUACAGCACGUUGAGCCACAAAGAAUUCAGGUUUAUAUAUCCCGUACUGCCAUUUUGCAUGGUGUUUUGUGGAUAUUCUCUUAAACAAUUGAAAACAUGGAAGAAAUCAGCAAUAACCUUCCUGCUUUUAUCAAAUUUACUCCCAGCCCUGUACACGGGUUUGAUUCACCAGCGUGGCUCUCUUGAUGUCAUGAUUCAUAUGCAGCAGCUCUGUAACAAUUCUUCUAACCAAUCAUGGGCUUCUGUCUUUGUAAUGAUGCCAUGCCACUCUACUCCUUUUUACAGCCAUGUUCACUGUCCUCUACCAAUGAGAUUUCUUCAAUGUCCUCCAGACCUAACUGGAAAAGAGAGUUACCUUGACGAAGCAGAUAUAUUUUACUCUAAUCCACUCAAGUGGCUUAAUGAGGAAUUUUACAAUGGUACACUACCUACUCACUUGGUCUUCUUCAGUGUGCUAGAACAGGAAAUAUCAUCGUUUCUUGUCCUAAAUGGUUACGAGAGAACAGCUACUGUCUUUCACACCCAUAUGCCUCAAGGACGAAUUGGAAGCCACAUCUAUGUCUACACAAGAAGGGUGAAAUGAAGCAUGCUUCAAGAUCAGUUUCUGAACUGGGACCAACUGAAGUCAGUAUUGUACAGUGGUGUCUUGGUUAAACCGCCUUCUAGUACAGAACAGAGGGCAGUGAUACUUGAAAAUAGGUUUGAAAUCGGACAGAAAAGAAUCAACCUUAGACACUGUACUAAGAAGCCAGAGAGAAGCUGCUGCUGCACUGGAUUCCAUCAAUACACUGAGAAAUUGCAUUGUGAGUUAUGGUACAUUUUCAAGUGCUACUUAAUAUUUUGUCCUCCUAACAAAAGGUAAAAGGCGAGAGAGAUUCUGAAUUGUUCCAUAAAAGUAUAUCUAGUUCUCUCAUUCAGCAACUGAGGAAACACUGGAUGAAGGCCAGAAAUGUCUUCCAGUAUCUUGCCAGCAACUAUAAGGAUUACCACAAGACUAACAAUAGGAAAGUAAAGGAUUAGAAAGGUGAAUAAAUCCAAAGCAUUACUACUAAUAAGCAGGGAUCCUAGUUUUCCGUGAUAAAAACAAAUUCUCUGAUACAAAACAACCAUAAAAAUCCACUUUUUUCCAUGAUUAAAAUGAAAUGCUGAACUUUAGUUUCCCUAGCCACAAUAUAUAUAGGUAUCAGUUGAACACAAUGUUUUAUUGACAUAUUUACAAUUUUUAAGAUGACAGUUGGAGCCCGCCGCCUCCUGGAGCUGACAGACAGGGCCCUGUUCAUUCUUCUAAUUAUCCAAAUUUCUGAUGAUCUGAUCUGACCCCGGUCCCAAUUAGAUCAGAUAAUUGGGGUUCCACUUUAUGUGAUUUUAUUUUUUCACAAAAUGUAAAAACUAAAGAUUCUCUGUAAAAACGCAAGGUCUGCAUUUUUCUAUGUCAAACGGAUUUCUAGGAUUCCUGCUAAUAAUUUAGUCAAGUAAAUGUACACAGUCCUUUAUGAACAGAGCCAGACAUUUCCUUUCUGCAAGCUCUAACAAAUUAAAAGAAGAAAGAAGAACAGCUAGUGUAAGGAUAAGGUAGAGACCUCUAAAGUUAUAUUAAUAUGAUUUAUAUUUAACAGUGCCAUAAGCUUGUAUCAUGGGAGUUAGGAAAGUAUUGGACAAAACAUUUAAGUAUCAAAGUUACUUGUUAGUACGAUCUGUACUUCUGAAGGAAUAAUAGAAAAAACACUAAGGAGCCUAUGACAUGAAUAAAUAUGUUGAAUGAAAAAUCUGAA